This 253-nucleotide ribosomal RNA is filed under the name uncultured bacterium. RNAcentral's name for it is "partial 16S ribosomal RNA". It matches the Rfam family "Bacterial small subunit ribosomal RNA", at positions 524 to 776 of the family's 1533-position model. The record is from RNAcentral.
UACAGAGGUCCCGAGCGUUGUUCGGAUUCACUGGGCGUAAAGGGUGCGUAGGUGGUGAGGUAAGUCGGAUGUGAAAUCUCCGAGCUCAACUCGGAAAUGGCAUUGGAAACUACCUUGCUCGAGGGUUGGAGGGGGGACUGGAAUACUUGGUGUAGCAGUGAAAUGCGUAGAUAUCAAGUGGAACACCAGUGGCGAGGGCGAGUCCCUGGACAACUCCUGACACUGAGGCACGAAAGCUAGGGGAGCAAACAGG